GUUGGCGGCGUGCCUAAUACAUGCAAGUAGAACGCUGAAGAGAGGAGCUUGCUCUUCUUGGAUGAGUUGCGAACGGGUGAGUAACGCGUAGGUAACCUGCCUUGUAGCGGGGGAUAACUAUUGGAAACGAUAGCUAAUACCGCAUAACAAUGGAUGACACAUGUCAUUUAUUUGAAAGGGGCAAUUGCUCCACUACAAGAUGGACCUGCGUUGUAUUAGCUAGUAGGUGAGGUAAUGGCUCACCUAGGCGACGAUACAUAGCCGACCUGAGAGGGUGAUCGGCCACACUGGGACUGAGACACGGCCCAGACUCCUACGGGAGGCAGCAGUAGGGAAUCUUCGGCAAUGGGGGCAACCCUGACCGAGCAACGCCGCGUGAGUGAAGAAGGUUUUCGGAUCGUAAAGCUCUGUUGUAAGUCAAGAACGGGUGUGAGAGUGGAAAGUUCACACUGUGACGGUAGCUUACCAGAAAGGGACGGCUAACUACGUGCCAGCAGCCGCGGUAAUACGUAGGUCCCGAGCGUUGUCCGGAUUUAUUGGGCGUAAAGCGAGCGCAGGCGGUUUGAUAAGUCUGAAGUUAAAGGCUGUGGCUCAACCAUAGUUCGCUUUGGAAACUGUCAAACUUGAGUGCAGAAGGGGAGAGUGGAAUUCCAUGUGUAGCGGUGAAAUGCGUAGAUAUAUGGAGGAACACCGGUGGCGAAAGCGGCUCUCUGGUCUGUAACUGACGCUGAGGCUCGAAAGCGUGGGGAGCGAACAGGAUUAGAUACCCUGGUAGUCCACGCCGUAAACGAUGAGUGCUAGGUGUUGGAUCCUUUCCGGGAUUCAGUGCCGCAGCUAACGCAUUAAGCACUCCGCCUGGGGAGUACGACCGCAAGGUUGAAACUCAAAGGAAUUGACGGGGGCCCGCACAAGCGGUGGAGCAUGUGGUUUAAUUCGAAGCAACGCGAAGAACCUUACCAGGUCUUGACAUCCCGAUGCUAUUUCUAGAGAUAGAAAGUUACUUCGGUACAUCGGUGACAGGUGGUGCAUGGUUGUCGUCAGCUCGUGUCGUGAGAUGUUGGGUUAAGUCCCGCAACGAGCGCAACCCCUAUUGUUAGUUGCCAUCAUUCAGUUGGGCACUCUAGCGAGACUGCCGGUAAUAAACCGGAGGAAGGUGGGGAUGACGUCAAAUCAUCAUGCCCCUUAUGACCUGGGCUACACACGUGCUACAAUGGUUGGUACAACGAGUUGCGAGUCGGUGACGGCGAGCUAAUCUCUUAAAGCCAAUCUCAGUUCGGAUUGUAGGCUGCAACUCGCCUACAUGAAGUCGGAAUCGCUAGUAAUCGCGGAUCAGCACGCCGCGGUGAAUACGUUCCCGGGCCUUGUACACACCGCCCGUCACACCACGAGAGUUUGUAACACCCGAAGUCGGUGAGGUAACCUUUUGGAGCCAGCCGCCUAAGGUGGGACAGAUGAUUGGGGUGAA
RNAcentral lists this ribosomal RNA (1465 nucleotides) under uncultured organism. RNAcentral describes it as "SSU rRNA". It matches the Rfam family "Bacterial small subunit ribosomal RNA". The record is from RNAcentral.